GAGACACCCCGAUAGAGCAAGACUUGCUUUAGUGGGGCUUUGGUACUCACCAAGUCUGCCCCUUGAGUGUGUCACU
Myotis lucifugus (little brown bat) is the source of this 76-nucleotide non-coding RNA. The record is from Rfam. NCBI's taxonomy places the organism in Eukaryota, Metazoa, Chordata, Mammalia, Chiroptera, Vespertilionidae.